RNAcentral lists this ribosomal RNA (253 nucleotides) under uncultured bacterium. Its description in RNAcentral is "partial 16S ribosomal RNA". It matches the Rfam family "Bacterial small subunit ribosomal RNA", at positions 524 to 776 of the family's 1533-position model. The record is from RNAcentral.
CACGUAGGGCGCAAGCGUUGUCCGGAAUUAUUGGGCGUAAAGAGCUCGUAGGCGGUCUGUUACGUCUGCUGUGAAAACCCAGGGCUUAACCCUGGGCUUGCAGUGGAUACGGGCAGACUAGAGGCAGGUAGGGGAGAAUGGAAUUCCCGGUGUAGCGGUGAAAUGCGCAGAUAUCGGGAGAAACACCGGUGGCGAAGGCGGUUCGCUGGGCCUGACCUGACGCUGAGGAGCGAAAGCGUGGGGAGCGAACAGG